RNAcentral lists this unclassified non-coding RNA (431 nucleotides) under soil metagenome. RNAcentral describes it as "partial contains 5.8S ribosomal RNA, internal transcribed spacer 2, and large subunit ribosomal RNA". The stretch from base 1 to 120 matches the Rfam family "5.8S ribosomal RNA", at positions 35 to 154 of the family's 154-position model. The record is from RNAcentral.
GAUGAAGAACGCAGCGAAAUGCGAUACGUAAUGUGAAUUGCAGAAUUCAGUGAAUCAUCGAAUCUUUGAACGCAUAUUGCGCUCUCUGGUAUUCCGGAGAGCAUGCUUGUUUGAGUAUCAGUAAACACCUCAACUUCCAUAUCUUUUUUGAAAUGGGAGUUGGACUUGAGUGAUCCCAACGCUUUUCCUCACCGAAAAGUGGCGGGUUACUUGAAAUGCAGGUGCAGCUGGACUUUUCUCUGAGCUAUAAGCAUAUCUAUUUAGUCUGCCUAAAAAACAGAUUAUUACCUUUGCUGCAGCUAACAUAAAGGAGAUUAGUUCUUGUGCUGACUGAUGCAGGAUUCACAAAGACGGCUUCGGCCGACUUUGUAAACUCGAUCUCAAAUCAAGUAAGACUACCCGCUGAACUUAAGCAUAUCAAUAAGCGAGGA